Long non-coding RNA from Labrus mixtus (cuckoo wrasse), 429 nucleotides. RefSeq lists it as uncharacterized. The transcript has 4 exons. The record is from RefSeq and is a predicted model, not a curated record. NCBI's taxonomy places the organism in Eukaryota, Metazoa, Chordata, Actinopteri, Labriformes, Labridae.
GCUAAGGAAAGCCAAGACGCCAUUGAACUUUUCUACUCUGUGUUUGUCUCUGUUGGACUAACAGAAUGAGUUGUUCUGCUGUAAACACAUCUAACCAACCAGUGGGAUUUAAGGAUAUCUGCAUUAACUUGCCAGACUGAAACAGGAGGUUGUGAAGGUGGACGCCAUCAUCUUGUCUUUGCAGUGCUGAUUCUGAAGAGAACGCCUUCACAUAGGACUCAAAGGAAAUCAAUGCCCAAAGGAAACAGCAGUCCAGACUCUGAUUCCAGCUCCGGUGAGGUUCUGCACACAAAUUGGCUGUCUGAUUCGUUUAAUGGGCUCACUGACUUGAAGAGAGAGGACACUUGGCUUCCAUGUACGAGACACACAAGUCCCAGAUUAAUCACUCUAUCAGGUAAGGAGCUGUCUCACUUUAAAGUGAUAUAAGAA